UNCAGUUCGUGACAAGUGCCACAAGCCCAGGU
This 32-nucleotide non-coding RNA is filed under the name Mus musculus (house mouse). Lineage: Eukaryota; Metazoa; Chordata; Mammalia; Rodentia; Muridae. The record is from RNAcentral.